Non-coding RNA from Podarcis lilfordi (Lilford's wall lizard), 4817 nucleotides. The record is from the annotation of a GenBank genome assembly. NCBI's taxonomy places the organism in Eukaryota, Metazoa, Chordata, Lepidosauria, Squamata, Lacertidae.
AGAAAUGAGCAAAGCAGUGAUAUUUUAGGGAGCAGGCUAGCAGGCCCGUUACUUACAUAACAGGAGCCUACACAACACAAAACACUGUUGCUGUAUGUAGGUUUUAUUUCAUUUGUUUUUUAUCUUAUAUUUUGGAGGCCCCCAAGAGAGUGGGGCCCUAAGCUAUAGCUUGUUUAGCUUAUACGUAAAUCUGGCACUGGUCGUAUUGGUGCUGGAACAGGUUCUAAGGUGGGAUCUUUUAAUCCUACAGCUCUGUGCAUGUUUUCUUGUAAGGAAGUCCCACUGUGUUCAGUGGAGCUUACUCUAAAAUAAGUGUACAUAGGGUUGUAGCCAUAGUCAAUUAGAUCACCAAUGCAAGUUCAAUGUUUAUCCAACUGCUUCUAAAGUACUUGCUUGAGCACAAAGGUCUCCAGGGAGGCUCUAACCAUGUUCAUCUAAACAUAGUUAAAAUCCCUCCUUAGAUCAGGAAUCUUAACUAUGCAGAGUUACAUAUUGUGGGAAAGAUUCUCCCCAUUUCAAGAAUCUCCCUGAGGAUCUUCAUAUUCAACACAUGAAAGUUUGGGAGAAGAGGGAUAUACGGUAUGUGGUUUGGUAUAACCUGUGUUCUAUGUAAGCAAACAAUGUGAAAAUUACAGACUGAAACAAAAUACAGCAGAACGAUCACAGCAGAACGAUAUAUACUAUAUAGUUUUGUCAUGUAUUAUAUUGUACUAAAAUGAAGCAGGAAAUGGUGUACCAAAUACACAGACAUCUAAGUUCUGAACAAGGAUAGGUACAUUGUUUCUUUUAAAGUCAAAGCAGAUAACGUAGAAUGAAACAAUUCUAAAAUGGAUUCAAUUGUAUGAAAGAGAAACUAACAGGGGUCAGCAAACUUUUUCAGCAGGGGGUCGGUCCACUGUCCCUCAGACCUUGUGGGGACCUUGUGGGGGGCCGGACUAUAUUUUUUGGGGGGAAAUGAACAAAUUCCUAUGCCCCACAAAUAACCCAGAGAUGCAUUUUAAAUAAAAGCACACCUUCUACUCAUGUAAAAACACCAGGAAGGCCCCACAAAUAACCCAGAGAUGCAUUUUAAAUGAAAGGACACAUUCUACCCAUGUAAAAACACACUAAUUCCUGGACCAUCCGCGGGCCAGAUUUAUAAGGCGAUUGGGCUGAAUCCAGCCCCUGGGCCUUAGUUUGCCUACCCAUGAACUAGAGCAUACAGGAAAAUUAAGUUGCAGAUUGCGGGCCAGACUGCACCCGCUGAUCUGUUAACUGUUAAUAAACAAAACCCUCAAGCACUAACUGCCACUCUGUUAAUUACAUUCAAGAGAUGGGAGUUACAAAGCUCUUUCAAAGUGAUGGAGUUUAGUUGGAAAGGAUGGACUUUCCAACUUUUUAAAAAACCUUUUCACUUUCAGCAAGGCAAUAACUGCUGUGGUUUUUGUGGGAUAUGGGGUAGCAAUAUCUCCAGAAUGGAAAUUUUCUCAAAGAGGAAAGAAUGAACUUUAGUGAGAUUAUAUUAGUUUUAAAGCACUGAACACCCAAGUCCUGAGAGAGAAAGACAGCAAACGCAGAAACACAUACCGUAAAUUUAUUUCAUAUAGAUCUGUAAUAAGAUUCUGUAUAUUAAGGGGUAGUUAAUAUUAUUGUAUUAUUGUGAUUGGCAGUUUCUACAGCCAUUUCUCCUUAUUGUGGUGCCCAUGUGAAUCUUCUGGAUUACACUGGUACCUUGGGUUACAUACGCUUCAGGUUACAUAUGCUUCAGGUUACAGACUCCGCUAACCCAGAAAUAUUCCCUCGGGUUAAGAACUUUGCUUCAGGAUUAGAACAGAAAUCGUGCUCUGGCGGCGCGGCAGCAGCAGGAGGCCCCAUUAGCCAAAGUGGUGCUUCAGGUUAAGAACAGUUUCAGGUUGAGUACAGACCUCCAGAACGAAUUAAGUACUUAACCUGAGGUACCACUGUACACAGAAAAUGUCUAUGCCAACAACAUAGAUAUUUUUGGAAGAUAUCUAAUACUAGAUUAAGAAAAGCUCCAUGUGAUCAGCUGGAGUGAUAAGAGCCACCAUAGGGGCCUCUCCCACCGAUGGGACAACAUGUAGACUGGCUCUGAUUAGUCCCAAGAGGACAGUGGCAUGGCUUAACACUGUUUACUGUACCAUUUCCUCUGUUUCUAGUGUUCGGGCUGUGGGUACUGUUGCUUAUGUCAUCAAAAGUGCACACAUACCCCACAUGGAAGCAGUGGCGGAGCUACAUGCUCUGGCACUGGGAGGUGGAGAGCAGGUGGGGGCAGGGCUGGCACGUAUCCUGGGGGCGUGGCAUACCGCCCGUGUCCUGGGGGCGUGGCGUGCUUCCUGAGGGUGUGGUGCGCCACCCUCAGGGGUGUGGCGCCCAGCGUGGGUGGGAGGCAGCUGCGAUGGCCCCCUACCGGGAUCAUGCUGCUGGGGGCAGUGUGCUCCCCCUGCACUCCUCUUCCUCCGCCAGUGCACGCAAGAGGGAGGUAUUAUCAUGCUUGGGGAGCCCACAAUGUUUACAGAAGGACACCUAAAAAUUAAUUAAAUUUCUAUACAGCCAUUCAUCCGAGGAUCACAGGGCAACUUACCAUAUAAAAGCACUAAGAUGCAUAACAUAGUAAUAAACUAAAACAAUACCUCCCCCAAUUAAAAAGUCAUAGAUUGUUUAAGUAGCCAAAUCCCAGGGAGAAGGAGUGGCUGGCUACAGGGGUGCCAACUUGAAUAAAAUAUGGGGGGAGGCAAGUUGAUCACAUGACACAGCACACAUACACCAUUUGAAUGGAAAUGCCCAUCAACUUUGGGGGGACUCGGUCCCCUCAAAUAUUUUAUUGGGGGGGGUCGAAGGGACCUUGGCCUCAAGGAUUUGGCUCUUAUGGCUGGCUGGAACAAUGAAAAGCAGCACAUCACAAUGCAGCAUAUUGCUUCAGAUGCCACUUGUUCUUUCUACUGUUUUGUUAAAAACGGAGAAGCAGAGUAACUAUCCCACUUACUCCUUUUAUCAACCUUAUGCAACAAAGCUGAAAGUAUACAUAUGGCUUUAAAUGGCUUACUGCCAAUCCACUGGUGUUAUCAUUGACACUAGCAAAUAUUACUCACUUUAGUAAGGCAGCAUGGCUUGUAAUGUUAAUCUUUUGAUGGCUGUUUAAUUAACAAAGGCCAACUGGAUGAGUAUGUUGGAGGAAACACCAUGCCCCCAUCAAAUGUUGAAGGAGACAAGACUUCCGGGUCAGCGCCAUCGGUGAAUGGCAGAGUUCCUCCGAUCGGAGGAACGGGCUCCAUAGAAAUUGGGUCUUCCCGCCACGGCAAAGGUGGGGACCCACUAGAAAUCCCAGGCGGAGGAAGCCUGGGAACGUGGGGUUCGGCAGGGCACCAGGAGCGCCCCCCCUACUCACCAGGAACCCCAUUUUGGGGCGCCGGAGCGAAGUGGGGUGAGCAGCGCGGUGCUGCGAACUGAUUGCUAUUUUUACGGAGUGAAGCUGCACAGCCAUUGCCGGAGAGCGCUGACUUUUUCCUGUGGACAAUUGGAUUUAAAACAAGUACCCGUGAGUAGAAACGGAAAAUUGGAUCAAGAAAUAUCUUAAUUUGGCAUCGAAGUGGGAAGGUUCAAAACAGGAAGUCCGCCUUCCGCUUUCUGUAUAUAGACUAAAGCAAAAACUUUGUAAGCUAAAGCCUGGAAAGCCGUUAAAAAAGUCUAAAUUUCCUUCAUUUAUAAUUACUGAAACCCCCUUGGAAGUAGGAGAAAAGGGGGGAGAACUUUGUUUAACCCCUGCAGGAGAGGGAGUGAAGAAGGAUAAGUUUCCACCAUCUCUAACCUGGAAACGGGGUGUCAGAGACAGAAAUAGUUGGAGAGGUUCAUUGACUGUGAAUGGAAUACUUUGACAGAUAGCUAAAGAAGAGAAAUAAACUGAUUCCAAUGUUGCCUUUUGCAUUCUAAAGAAACAAAAUAUCUGAAAAAUAUCUGAAAAAUGAAAGUAAUUUUCCUUUGUUGGACUUGCCUUAAAAAAAUGGAUACAAAUAGAAAUUGUCUCCCCUAGAGGGAGCUUGUUAAAUUGUUGCUGCAGUCUACGUGAGGACUCAACAGCUGUGAGAUUAAGAUCGUGGGAUUAGUCUUUUCUGACCUUGACUAAAGAUGAGCUGGAAGGAAGACUGGGUGCUUGCUUUAUGCAAGACAAGUGCCUUGCUGGAACAGAUGCACGAGAAGAUGGAUUUGAUGAAUGAGAAAAUGGACUUGAUGACUGUUGUGGUUAACAACUGUGGACAAACAGGGAACAUUGAUACAGAAACCAUUCAGGGACCAACUCAUGAACCUGUACUGACUGGGCAAGUGCAGAAAAUAAUGGAGGAGGAUGCGGUUGCACCUCAAAUAAUACAAAUGGAGAAACCCGAGGCCCUACAGGAGCAUAAGCCGCUGCCAUUGAAGAUGGAAGUUGGAGUGGGCCAGGGGGAGUCUGGAGCUGAGGAGGUUCCUAAUUUUGGAGAGACCUUGAAAUAUGUUUUUAAAUACUUUUUGGAUUACACUGAUGACUGUGGGGAGUGGGACUGUGGGGAAUGGGCGGGUUUGAUGAAGGGAGAUGGAGACAAUUUUGGGUUGGAACCCCCCAGAGACCUACUCCUCAAUGAGAAAGGAAAGAAAUUAAGAAAGAGACCAACAAAUGACAAGGAAAAGGGCAAGUAUAAACAAGAAGAAGAAGAUCUGCAGAAGGGACAUGGAAGAGACUUAAGGGCCUCGGACAUAAGACUUCCAGGUUGAUGGACUAGAUGGAAUGGGCAGUAAGGACUGACACGACCCGAGACCAGGAAGAAGAGACGUUGGAUGAAGACUGG